ACCCCUUUCAGUGGAUGGCUCUAGUGCUCGUGCACUUUGCCGAUGUCGGCUUUCCUGUGCUGUAUUCCCAUCGAGAUGGCAAUUCGUCGGCUAAAUUUUUCAGUUUCCGCCCUGUGCUGCUGCUCCUCACGGAAAUGCGGCGCGGGGUGGUCCACAAAGCACACGUCGUGUUUCGCGAKCCACGCACUCGUGCGCGAGUUCUCGGGUUGGCGACCCACGGCGAUGCGCUCGAUCUCUCGGAUGCGGAAAAUCGGGCGGCGACGAGGAAACGGCCUCGGAUGCCCUUUGGUAAAGCGUUCUGCGCUUCGUGCGGACGACGGCUCUUCGGGUCUCGAUCUGGAGUCG
RNAcentral lists this unclassified non-coding RNA (345 nucleotides) under Oxera crassifolia. RNAcentral's name for it is "partial external transcribed spacer". Lineage: Eukaryota; Viridiplantae; Streptophyta; Magnoliopsida; Lamiales; Lamiaceae. The record is from RNAcentral.